GCCCUGCUCCAUAGCGGCUUCUUUCUUCGUGGCUUCUGUCGCUCUCAUCUACCAGGCAUGGACGUGUUUGGUCUUCAGCGAGGACUCAAGGACAGAGGAGCCGCCUCCCAGGCACUUCUGAUCCCCGGAAGUGGUCUCACUCCUCAGUGGUUCUGGGAACUUGGAGAGCCUCGAGGGCCUUUGGGGAGUUCUCCACGAGGGCCUCCCUACCCACAGCUCUGCUCAAUUAAACUGGCUCUUCUAGCGUUUGUGACCGCCUUUGUGAUUAUGGGGACCUUCUCCCCUUCUUUUCUCCCCACGGCCAUUACUUCUCAUUGAAUUCUCAUUUUGUUUUCCUGUUUGUUUCUCCUCCGCGGCUUCAAGUCGCCAUGGUAACCAAAUUCCUUUGCGAUUCUCCGAGCUACUGGUCAUUCUUGUACCCCGCCGAGUCUUCCUUACUCUCCUCCCUUCCCCCGGAACGGCCAGGGGUCCUCCUUGCCUCUAACAAAGUGCUGCCGCCAUGUUGUUUGGGACAGUCUUCAGGCCAGCUGGGCUCCAUCCGUCCUUUCCUUGUUUUUGGAAGAUGAUGUAGGGGGGGGGAUGGGAGCACAACUUGGACUCCCAUCAAGCCUGCUGCCUUCUGCUUUGGGUGUGUCUCUGGGAUGCUUUUGAAAGCCCAAAGAAGUGGAGGGGAGGCUCCUGCGCCUGCUGAUGGAGCACGAAGGCCCUCUGAGCAAACAAGCCUUGGGGAAGCAAAACGAAAGCUGGCCCCACUUCAUGCCGGGUGUUCAAUGAAGAACCAAAGCUUCCUCCUCCAGCGCGCGCUCGUCUGAAACCCUCCCAGAGGCUCCCCUCUCUUCUUCCUCCCCUUCCUCAGCAGGCUAACUGGAGGCCAAGGCCUCUGGCUUAUUGCUGGGGUGGCGAGCAGCGCUUUGGCAGUGCUUCAUGGCCAACUGGAGUGAUUCCUUCUCCAGCGCCAGUGUAGACAGCAACUUGACAAUGGGCAAUGGGGACUCUGAUUCAGAAUUCCAUCCUGAGUUUUGAGAGCACCACCCUGUGGCUCAUUGCCACCUUCAACUGCAUCAUGGUUGCCUUCAUCUUCUCAAAGGGGAAGAAGCCUUUACAAAAGCCCAUCUAUACCAACCGAAUGGGACCCAACAACUCAGUAACACUGAGCCCUGCUACCCUUUGUAACAGUUCAUCCCAACAGUCCUGUCAUGCAGGAUUUCAGCUCUGGUGGCAUAUUUUGUGGAGGCUCCUACUGUGUGCCAGGCACGGGGAAGUGAAACAGCUCCUCUCCCCUCAAGGAGCCUUUGGAGAAGCAACGUGCACAGGGCAAUGCAUGGAACCAUCUACAGGAAGUUAAUGCAAAGAUGCCAUCCUUCAGAACCGAGAGCUCUGGCUUCUGAUCAAGAAGGAAUGGGGCGUGCGCUCUAAGAGUCAGUACAGGAAAUGGCAGAGAAAGCUAGCCCAGGACCCCAGCUGGCCCCCCAUGAAUAGGACAGAUUACUCAGAAGAAGGCAAAAACGGCUUCUAUAGCAAUCCUGCC
This 1528-nucleotide long non-coding RNA is filed under the name Monodelphis domestica (gray short-tailed opossum). Its description in RNAcentral is "lncRNA (ENSMODG00000050073.1)". The record is from RNAcentral. Lineage: Eukaryota; Metazoa; Chordata; Mammalia; Didelphimorphia; Didelphidae.